Molecule: long non-coding RNA, 328 nt
Filed under: Androctonus crassicauda
Lineage: Eukaryota; Metazoa; Arthropoda; Arachnida; Scorpiones; Buthidae
Source: RNAcentral
AUAUAAUUAAGAAAAAAUACGAAUAUCACAUAUCCGAGGGGGGAAGCGCGACUGUUUUCCGAAUGGUAUGCAGCGACGGGGAGGCUAGGCCUAGCGUCGAGAGGUGCGGGCUGUAUGAGAUACCGUUGGUCGCUCCCAUGAACGACGCGGUGACCUAUUGCAUCGGAAUGGCCCGACGGCGCCUGAGGGAACGUAUACAACAACACAAGUGCGACGUACGUAGCAGCAGGGAGGGUACUGCUCUAGCACGGGCGGUCUGUUCAAGGGACUGAUCGGUGGUGUGGGACAGCGCAAGAAUUGUAGACUCACUAUGUGCUGACGGGUUGAG